Molecule: ribosomal RNA, 419 nt
Filed under: uncultured Prevotella sp.
Lineage: Bacteria; Pseudomonadati; Bacteroidota; Bacteroidia; Bacteroidales; Prevotellaceae
Description: bacterial SSU rRNA
Rfam family: Bacterial small subunit ribosomal RNA
Source: RNAcentral
GGAAUAUUGGUCAAUGGGCGAGAGCCUGAACCAGCCAAGUAGCGUGCAGGACGACUGCCCUAUGGGUUGUAAACUGCUUUUAUGCGGGGAUAAACUUCAGCACGUGUGCUGUUUUGCAGGUACCGCAUGAAUAAGGACCGGCUAAUUCCGUGCCAGCAGCCGCGGUAAUACGGAAGGUCCGGGCGUUAUCCGGAUUUAUUGGGUUUAAAGGGAGCGCAGGCGGGUUGUUAAGCGUGACGUGAAAUGUAGGGGCUCAACCUUUGAAUUGCGUCGCGAACUGUCAGUCUUGAGUGAGUUCGAUGUUGGCGGAAUUCGUGGUGUAGCGGUGAAAUGCUUAGAUAUCACGAAGAACUCCGAUUGCGAAGGCAGCCAACAAGGCCUUUACUGACGCUAAAGCUCGAAGGUGCGGGUAUCGAACA